CCUACGGGAGGCAGCAGUGGGGAAUAUUGCACAAUGGGGGAAACCCUGAUGCAGCGACGCCGCGUGAGUGAAGAAGUAUUUCGGUAUGUAAAGCUCUAUCAGCAGGGCAGAUAAUGACUGUACCUGAGGAAGAAGCCCCGGCUAACUACGUGCCAGCAGCCGCGGUAAUACGUAGGGGGCAAGCGUUAUCCGGAUUUACUGGGUGUAAAGGGAGCGUAGACGGCAUGGCAAGUCUGAAGUGAAAGCCCGGGGCUCAACCGCGGGACUGCUUUUGAAACUGUUAAGCUUGAGUGCAGGAGAGGUAAGUGGAAUUCCUAGUGUAGCGGUGAAAUGCGUAGAUAUUAGGAGGAACACCAGUGGCGAAGGCGGCUUACUGGACUGUAACUGACGUUGAGGCUCGAAAGCGUGGGGAGCAAACAGGAUUAGAUACCCUUGUAGUC
Molecule: ribosomal RNA, 440 nt
Filed under: uncultured bacterium
Lineage: Bacteria
Description: partial 16S ribosomal RNA
Rfam family: Bacterial small subunit ribosomal RNA
Source: RNAcentral